Molecule: long non-coding RNA, 578 nt
Filed under: Pan troglodytes (chimpanzee)
Lineage: Eukaryota; Metazoa; Chordata; Mammalia; Primates; Hominidae
Description: lincRNA
Source: RNAcentral
UCGGGACUACUGGGUCACCCUGGGUAGUCGGGACUUUAGACUGAGCUGUCUUGGUCACUCGGGGGCAGUUGGCAGAGUAUUCGUGGUCAGGGAGGUGACCCGUGGUCAGCAGGGUCAGGCCACCCAGGGACAAAGGGUCCUCCUGCACCGAGCCUUGGAGAAGGACAGACCGGUGGAGACUUGGGGUCAGCGGGGGAGCCUCCGCGGAUGGGGAGUCACCACCUGCCGGGUUCAAGCCAUUCUUCUGCCUCAGCCUCCCGAGUAGCUGGGACUACAGCCACCCACCACCACGACUGGCUACUUUUUUGUAUUUUAGUAGAAACAGGGUUUCACCGUGUUGGUCAAGAUAGUCUCGAUCUCCUGACCUCGUAAUCUGCCCGCCUUGGCCUCCCGAAGUGCUGGGAUUACAGCAAUCAGCCAUGACUGCCUUUGCACUGUCCAUGCUCUCAGCCCACCACCUCGUCCCCCUGCCAUUGCAGUGGCUAACACUGGAGACGAAGACCAAGACACCACAGCCUUUCUCCAGUACCUCUCAAAUCAGCACAGACAAGGACAAAGGCCUCAAUCCACAACUGCUG